Molecule: long non-coding RNA, 1392 nt
Organism: Oreochromis niloticus (Nile tilapia)
Lineage: Eukaryota; Metazoa; Chordata; Actinopteri; Cichliformes; Cichlidae
Exons: 2
Source: RefSeq, a predicted model, not a curated record
CUGCAGAGGUUACAGCUGCGAACGACGCUCUGUCACGGCCGGGCCUCCGGCUCCGCUCUGCUUCCUCUUUGCUCUGUUUUCUGUCUUUUUGCUGAUUUCUCGUUCGACUUCCUGUCCCUCGUCUAACGCCUCUGACUCAAAACUGAUGUGAAGCUCACUGCUCUCCCAGCUUCAACCCGCUGUGACGGGACAGCCCCUCUCAGCGCAUCGGCCAAUCAGAGAGCUAUGCAGAGACAAACCCACAGAGGUAGAGUACGAGCGAGAUGAGAGAAAACCCGAGGGGAAGUCUGCAGGAAUCCACAGAGCGUGAGAAGGACCGAACGCAUCAACCGCUCAGACACAACACAAUGCAGACACACAAACAACAGCUGAGGAUGCCCAUGCGACACACUUCAUGUUUGUGACCUCGAGCAGAUGUCCCAGGCUGGUUCCAGCUCCUUCAGCUUGUUUCCCGAACCAUCCGGACGCUCUACAGCCGAAGAGCUUCAGUCAUUCACCACAAACCUCAGAAGAACAGCUGACAGCAGCUGCAGGAAUCUUUAAGACCUGCAGUUUAACUGAUGUGUGUGUGUUAUCUGGCUUCAUGGACAGAUAGAGCUGGGUGUCAUCAGCAUAGCAGUGAGAAUGUAUGCUAUGCUUAAAAUGAUACUGCCUAAGGGAAGCAUGUAUAAUGUGAACAGAGUUCGAGCACUGACUGCCACAGCCGUGCGCUCAGUUUGUGAAACUUUAUCUUCAGAUACGAGUUUGACGUUUGUGUAAUACCGAUUUGCACCAGCAGAUGGUACAAAGAGUCAUCGUCACGCGCACAUUAUUAACAUCUGUAUUUAAAAAAACAUGCCAGUGCAAAAGCGAUGCUACGUCCUUCGUUUGUGUGUAUUUAACCAAACUGUGGAUCCUGAUUCAUCUCACCAGUAAAUAAAAACGCUGCAGGUUUGAAUGGAUCUGAAAGCUUCUUCUACCUGCUGAUCGUGCUGAUUAGAGCUUAUUGAUUACUGCACAUUGUUCCCAGUUUUGUUUAUUUGUCUUUUCUUUGUAUUAUUUGUUUGAUUCAUUCCUCUCGUGUCUUAUUCGCGGUUUGUGAGUCAGCUGUGAAACUCAGAGCUGCACUGACCUUCAUGAAACUUGUGCAGCUUGAAUCUGGUUAUGUUUGGUUUAUGAUGGUUAUUAAUAAUCAGCCUGAGACGUUUGACGUUCGAGCUGCAGACUGAGUUUCUGCUAUCGGCCUGACUGCUGCUCCUGAUUCUGUCGCUGCAUUUCUACCCCACACUGAAGCAACGAGCAAACUGCUGCACGACAAGUAAAAAUAAGAACAAUCGUUUAAUAAAAAAGAGAAGCUGAACCCAGUCUGAAGCUGAGCAUGACGAGGAGGAGAAGGGUUUUCUUCAGUUUGAA